Molecule: ribosomal RNA, 497 nt
Filed under: uncultured bacterium
Lineage: Bacteria
Description: partial 16S ribosomal RNA
Rfam family: Bacterial small subunit ribosomal RNA
Source: RNAcentral
GAUGAACGCUGGCGGCGUGCCUAAUACAUGCAAGUCGAGCGAACAGACGAGGAGCUUGCUCCUCUGACGUUAGCGGCGGACGGGUGAGUAACACGUGGAUAACCUACCUAUAAGACUGGGAUAACUUCGGGAAACCGGAGCUAAUACCGGAUAAUAUAUUGAACCGCAUGGUUCAAUAGUGAAAGACGGUUUUGCUGUCACUUAUAGAUGGAUCCGCGCCGCAUUAGCUAGUUGGUAAGGUAACGGCUUACCAAGGCAACGAUGCGUAGCCGACCUGAGAGGGUGAUCGGGCACCCUGGAACUGAGACACGGUCCAGACCCCUACGGGAGGCAGCAGUAGGGAAUCUUCCGCAAUGGGCGAAAGCCUGACGGAGCAACGCCGCGUGAGUGAUGAAGGUCUUCGGAUCGUAAAACUCUGUUAUUGGGGAAGAACAAAUGUGUAAGUAACUAUGCACGUCUUGACGGUACCUAAUCAGAAAGCCACGGCUAACUACGUG